UUCCUAGUGGUCCAGUGGUUUAAGACUCUGCACUUCCAAUGCAGGGUGCACAGGUUCUAUCCCUGGUCUGGGAA
This 74-nucleotide transfer RNA is filed under the name Bos taurus (domestic cattle). It matches the Rfam family "tRNA". Rfam says of the family: Transfer RNA (tRNA) molecules are approximately 80 nucleotides in length. Their secondary structure includes four short double-helical elements and three loops (D, anti-codon, and T loops). Further hydrogen bonds mediate the characteristic L-shaped molecular structure. tRNAs have two regions of fundamental functional importance: the anti-codon, which is responsible for specific mRNA codon recognition, and the 3' end, to which the tRNAs corresponding amino acid is attached (by aminoacyl-tRNA synthetases). tRNAs cope with the degeneracy of the genetic code in two manners: having more than one tRNA (with a specific anti-codon) for a particular amino acid; and 'wobble' base-pairing, i.e. permitting non-standard base-pairing at the 3rd anti-codon position. Lineage: Eukaryota; Metazoa; Chordata; Mammalia; Artiodactyla; Bovidae. RNAcentral also lists the same sequence under 5 other names. The record is from Rfam by way of RNAcentral.